UGAUCCUGGCUCAGGAUAAACGCUGGCGGCGCACAUAAGACAUGCAAGUCGAACGAACUUAAUUCAUUCUUUUAGAUUGGAAGCGGUUAGUGGCGGACUGGUGAGUAACGCGUGAGCAACCUGCCUAUUAGAGGGGAAUAACAGUGAGAAAUCAUUGCUAAUACCGCAUAUGCUUACACUAUUGCAUGACAGAGUAAGGAAAGGAGCAAUCCGCUAAUAGAUGGGCUCGCGUCUGAUUAGCUAGUUGGUGGGGUAGAAGCCUACCAAGGCGACGAUCAGUAGCCGGACUGAGAGGUUGAACGGCCACAUUGGGACUGAGAUACGGCCCAGACUCCUACGGGAGGCAGCAGUCGGGAAUAUUGCGCAAUGGAGGGAACUCUGACGCAGUGACGCCGCGUAUAGGAAGAAGGUUUUCGGAUUGUAAACUAUUGUCGUGAGGGAAGAAGAUGACAGUACCUCAGGAGGAAGCUCCGGCUAACUAUGUGCCAGCAGCCGCGGUAAUACAUAGGGAGCAAGCGUUAUCCGGAAUUAUUGGGUGUAAAGGGUGCGUAGACGGGAAAUUAAGUUAGUUGUGAAAUCCCUUGGCUUAACUGA
This 594-nucleotide ribosomal RNA is filed under the name uncultured bacterium. RNAcentral describes it as "bacterial SSU rRNA". It matches the Rfam family "Bacterial small subunit ribosomal RNA", at positions 14 to 616 of the family's 1533-position model. The record is from RNAcentral.